This 231-nucleotide unclassified non-coding RNA is filed under the name fungal sp. Its description in RNAcentral is "partial internal transcribed spacer region". The stretch from base 1 to 46 matches the Rfam family "Eukaryotic small subunit ribosomal RNA", at positions 1786 to 1831 of the family's 1831-position model. Lineage: Eukaryota; Fungi. The record is from RNAcentral.
AAGUCGUAACAAGGUUUCCGUAGGUGAACCUGCGGAAGGAUCAUUAAAAGAAUCUGCCUCACCCACAGAUAUCUUAUCACGUGUGAACUGUCUAGCUUGUCACCCGAGAUGGACACCUCAGAGAUCUCGGUCUUUGGGGGGUCUGUCUUGGGGGUCAGCUUAUGCUACUGAUUGUGCCCCGAGAAUCUUUAAAAGACUAUAAAACUUUUAGCAAUGGAUCUCUAGGCUCUG